This 253-nucleotide ribosomal RNA is filed under the name uncultured bacterium. RNAcentral's name for it is "partial 16S ribosomal RNA". It matches the Rfam family "Bacterial small subunit ribosomal RNA", at positions 524 to 776 of the family's 1533-position model. The record is from RNAcentral.
UACGGAGGGAGCUAGCGUUGUUCGGAAUUACUGGGCGUAAAGCGCACGUAGGCGGCUACUCAAGUCAGAGGUGAAAGCCCGGGGCUCAACUCCGGAAUUGCCUUUAAGACUGCAUCGCUAGAAUUGUGGAGAGGUAAGUGGAAUUCCGAGUGUAGAGGUGAAAUUCGUAGAUAUUCGGAAGAACACCAGUGGCGAAGGCGACUUACUGGACACAUAUUGACGCUGAGGUGCGAAAGCGUGGGGAGCAAACAGG